RNAcentral lists this long non-coding RNA (654 nucleotides) under Mytilus galloprovincialis (Mediterranean mussel). The record is from RNAcentral. Lineage: Eukaryota; Metazoa; Mollusca; Bivalvia; Mytilida; Mytilidae.
CUCUGGAAAAGUAAGGGAAUGAAAUCAUCAAUUCAAAAUAACAUUCCAUUCAUUUAUUUAUUAAAAUCUAUUUGGUCCAGUGGUUUUCUAUCUAUCUGUUGACAUGUGCAUCACUAUAUGCUCUUGACCCUUUCAGACAGAAAGCAAGGUGGGCAGUGUAUGAAAAUGACUAUUUAAGGAAAUCUCUUCUAUAAAGUAGUGUCGAUGUGUGUCAGUGAAAUCACUUAUCUAACAAUCUGUGAUUUCCCUUUACUAUUCUUAAAAGAAAGUUUCACUGAAAGAAUGGGAGUCAUGAAUUUUGAAAGAUUAGGGCUUAUAUAGAUAGUAUUUUUGAAGUAUUUUGGCAUAACUUACUAGUAAUGCAUGGGGUUCCAACUAAGCAUACAACUCAAUGGAGAAACAGAUUAAUGGUAAUCUCUUUGGUCAAGACAACUUGAACUCAUAUGAUUCUGAAUGGGGAUCAAUGUCAGACAGUUUCAAACUUGUCAAAGCCAUUGCUCAUAUUAACCAACUUUUGAUCAAAGACUCACAAAAAAACUAGAAUAAAUCAAGAUUGACAGUAUUUACAGUGGAAUUUACAAUGACUUUUAUUUCCGAGGGGAAUAAUUCCUGUGAUAAUAGUUGAUUUGAAGAAUUGAGAGCGCUUCCAAUCAU